GACGAACGCUGGCGGCGUGCCUAAUACAUGCAAGUCGAACGCUUCUUUCCUCCCGAGUGCUUGCACUCAAUUGGAAAGAGGAGUGGCGGACGGGUGAGUAACACGUGGGUAACCUACCCAUCAGAGGGGGAUAACACUUGGAAACAGGUGCUAAUACCGCAUAACAGUUUAUGCCGCAUGGCAUAAGAGUGAAAGGCGCUUUCGGGUGUCGCUGAUGGAUGGACCCGCGGUGCAUUAGCUAGUUGGUGAGGUAACGGCUCACCAAGGCCACGAUGCAUAGCCGACCUGAGAGGGUGAUCGGCCACACUGGGACUGAGACACGGCCCAGACUCCUACGGGAGGCAGCAGUAGGGAAUCUUCGGCAAUGGACGAAAGUCUGACCGAGCAACGCCGCGUGAGUGAAGAAGGUUUUCGGAUCGUAAAACUCUGUUGUUAGAGAAGAACAAGGACGUUAGUAACUGAACGUCCCCUGACGGUAUCUAACCAGAAAGCCACGGCUAACUACAUG
RNAcentral lists this ribosomal RNA (508 nucleotides) under uncultured bacterium. RNAcentral describes it as "partial 16S ribosomal RNA". It matches the Rfam family "Bacterial small subunit ribosomal RNA", at positions 28 to 507 of the family's 1533-position model. The record is from RNAcentral.